UCCCGUCUAGCUCAAUGGUAGAGCACUUGACUGUUAAUCAGGCGGUUCUAGGUUCGAGUCCUGGGGCGGGAGCCA
This 75-nucleotide transfer RNA is filed under the name Nitrosomonadaceae bacterium. RNAcentral describes it as "tRNA-Asn". It matches the Rfam family "tRNA". From Rfam's summary of the family: Transfer RNA (tRNA) molecules are approximately 80 nucleotides in length. Their secondary structure includes four short double-helical elements and three loops (D, anti-codon, and T loops). The record is from RNAcentral. Lineage: Bacteria; Pseudomonadati; Pseudomonadota; Betaproteobacteria; Nitrosomonadales; Nitrosomonadaceae.